CAUUGCUCUCUGUUCCUGUACAUGUUGCCGUUUUCAAAUCGAUUCUAUCUCUAAUACUUUUUAAGAAAAAUGCAAAGGAAAGAAAUCGUUUCAAGGGGAUAUAACUCUCAUAGGGGAAGAUGAAAUCCUAUUCAGCCUCAUAUGGUAAUACAUCAUGAUGAGAUGUACCUAUUGUCCAAAUAAGGUCAUGAUAUCUUUAAAAACAACGAGGGGGGGGGGCUAUGUUGAAAAAAAAUCAAUAAAAGGGAGAUACCUUCAUAAGGGGAUGAUGAAAUCCUUAACAAUGUCAUCUGGUAAUACUUCAUGAUGAGGUCUAUCGAUGGUUACUAUUUGGUAUUCAUAACUUCAAAAUAAACAAGAUGCGGGCAUGUCAAGAAAAUGUUGGAAGAAAAAAAAGAAAAAAAAAAAAAAAAAACAUUAGAAAAACAAUAAGGUCUUUCCUCGCGUAGAGGAAAGACCUUAAAAAUGACAAAACUUACGAUGCCAGGAAUUAUAGUAAACAAAACAGAUGUAAAUAUUAAGUAUACACCUUAUGGUGAUACCCAAACACUUCACUAAAAUUAAUUUGAUUCGUUUAAUUUUCAUAAAAUUUUGACAAAGCAUUUACUUUGACUCUUUGACAAAAACAUAAAAAAAAUAAAAAAAUUGAACCAACC
Molecule: long non-coding RNA, 656 nt
Filed under: Mytilus galloprovincialis (Mediterranean mussel)
Lineage: Eukaryota; Metazoa; Mollusca; Bivalvia; Mytilida; Mytilidae
Source: RNAcentral